CCCAGCUGGGCUAUCGGCAGCAUCCCCGGGGCUGUGGGAACCACCCUGGACUUUGCUCGGGCAGCUCCGGUGGCGUGGGAUGGGAUAAGCGGCUUUGGGAGCUGGAGACAGAGCAGGGAUGGCAGCAGGCGAGGGCAGGCACUGGGAGGAGCUGGGAUGCAGCAGGAGGAGCACCCGAGCCAGUUCUCACCAGCGGUGGGACCUGUGAUGAGUGACGUCCCGGUGUCCACGAUGGCCUGGCAGCCAUUCAUGCAGAAAACCACUGUCCCGUUCAGCUGGAUGCUGGAGGAGAAGGAAAGAGAGAAGGACCAGGAGGGACUUGUCCUGAUGAUCUUC
Falco peregrinus (peregrine falcon) is the source of this 336-nucleotide long non-coding RNA. RefSeq lists it as uncharacterized. Lineage: Eukaryota; Metazoa; Chordata; Aves; Falconiformes; Falconidae. The record is from RefSeq and is a predicted model, not a curated record. The transcript is spliced from 3 exons.